Molecule: ribosomal RNA, 399 nt
Filed under: uncultured bacterium
Lineage: Bacteria
Description: bacterial SSU rRNA
Rfam family: Bacterial small subunit ribosomal RNA
Source: RNAcentral
UGGGGAAUUUUGCACAAUGGGGGAAACCCUGAUGCAGCGACGCCGCGUGAUUUAGAAGGCCUUCGGGUUGUAAAAAUCUUUUGUAUAGGAAGAAAAUGACAGUACUAUACGAAUAAGGUCCGGCUAAUUACGUGCCAGCAGCCGCGGUAAUACGUAAGGACCGAGCGUUGUCCGGAAUCAUUGGGCGUAAAGGGUACGUAGGCGGCUAGAAAAGUUAGAAGUCAAAGGCUAUAGCUCAACUAUAGUAAGCUUCUAAAACUAUUUAGCUUGAGAGAUGGAAGGGAAAGUGGAAUUCCUAGUGUAGCGGUGGAAUGCGCAGAUAUUAGGAGGAAUACCGGUGGCGAAGGCGACUUUCUGGCCAUUUUCUGACGCUGAGGUACGAAAGCGUGGGUAGCAAAC